Molecule: ribosomal RNA, 179 nt
Filed under: Garra sp. CBM:ZF:15224
Lineage: Eukaryota; Metazoa; Chordata; Actinopteri; Cypriniformes; Cyprinidae
Description: partial 12S rRNA
Source: RNAcentral
CACCGCGGUUAGACGAAUAGGCUCUAGUUGAUAAUACAACGGCGUAAAGGGUGGUUAAGUAAAUAACUAAAUAAUUAAAUAAAGCUAAAUGACCCCUCGGCCGUCGUACGCUUCUAGCUGUCUGAGACCCUAAUACGAAAGUAGCUUUAAAUACAUCUGACCCCACGAAAGCUGACAAA